GUUCGUUCUUGUUAUUCUGGAGCAGCUGGUAUGUGUGUGUUCUCAUGCAGGGCUCUGCCCUAGUUCCUCUUCUCCAGGCUCUAUUCAGGACAGAGGAAAUUAGGGCUCUAGCUCCUUUCCCCAUGUGCCCCUACACAGAACCUGGGAAGGCCAAGACUCCUGGCCUGGGAUAGACUGGGAGCUGAAGGUGAAAGACUAAUGGAUUCACCCUCCUCUUCCUUCUACUAGAACUCCUCCGAGUUCCCCUACACAAUUAACUCUUUACUGUUGGUGAUCCAGCUGCAAGCUGCUGAGACUGAAAUCAAAGACUUGCCGUCCGAGUUUGAGCUGGAGAAGUUUGAUUAUCUCACCACCAUUUGCCGAAGGAGCGGGACUGCUUGCUCUUUCAGCAGCUUCUGGAUCAGGUACAGCCCGUCAUGUGGCAUGACAGUAACUACAGCAACCUAGAUAAGAUCAGACACGAGUCGGUCUGGGAUGAGGACAGCGGCUGCUGAAAACACCUGGAGCCUGUCAUUCAAAAAACCAGCCUCCCUGCAGUUAAGAAAGCAGUUCCAUCACUGCCACAGACUAAGCCAGCCAGGAAGAGCGCCUCAGGCGAGAACGGAGAGCUGCUGAUGAUGUUGCAUACAUUGGCCACUAUCCCUCUAGCUCAGUGGUUCCCAAACUGUGGUUCGUGAAAUGUUACAGAGGAUUCUUGGGGAAAAAAUUCCCUAAUGGCGGACAGAGCUGUCCCUAGGAACUCCUGGCAUCACGGGGCUAGCAGCCCGGAGCUUCUGGAUUUCCAAGAGCUAAGCAGAUCAAAGCAAAUGUCUCUAUCACACUGAGAAGUUUUAAACUUCAAGACUUUUAAGAAAUGGAAAGGGAGGUGG
Mauremys reevesii (Reeves's turtle) is the source of this 869-nucleotide long non-coding RNA. RefSeq lists it as uncharacterized. The record is from RefSeq and is a predicted model, not a curated record. NCBI's taxonomy places the organism in Eukaryota, Metazoa, Chordata, Testudines, Geoemydidae. The transcript is spliced from 3 exons.